AUUGAACGCUGGCGGAAUGCUUUACACAUGCAAGUCGAGCGGCAGCGCGGCCUUCGGGCUGGCGGCGAGCGGCGAACGGGUGAGUAAUGCAUCGGAACAUGCCCAGUCGUGGGGGAUAACACUUCGAAAGAAGUGCUAAUACCGCAUACGUCCUGAGGGGGAAAGCGGGGGAUCGCAAGACCUCGCGCGAUUGGAGUGGCCGAUGUCAGAUUAGCUAGUUGGUGGGGUAAAGGCCUACCAAGGCGACGAUCUGUAGCUGGUCUGAGAGGAUGAUCAGCCACACUGGGACUGAGACACGGCCCAGACUCCUACGGGAGGCAGCAGUGGGGAAUUUUGGACAAUGGGGGCAAGCCUGAUCCAGCCAUUCCGCGUGAGUGAAGAAGGCCUUCGGGUUGUAAAGCUCUUUCGGCAGGAACGAAACGGUGGGCUCUAACAUAGUCCGCUAAUGACGGUACCUGAAGAAGAAGCACCGGCUAACUACGUG
This 484-nucleotide ribosomal RNA is filed under the name uncultured bacterium. Its description in RNAcentral is "partial 16S ribosomal RNA". It matches the Rfam family "Bacterial small subunit ribosomal RNA", at positions 29 to 507 of the family's 1533-position model. The record is from RNAcentral.